RNAcentral lists this ribosomal RNA (460 nucleotides) under uncultured bacterium. RNAcentral's name for it is "partial 16S ribosomal RNA". It matches the Rfam family "Bacterial small subunit ribosomal RNA", at positions 338 to 795 of the family's 1533-position model. The record is from RNAcentral.
CCUACGGGUGGCAGCAGUGAGGAAUAUUGGUCAAUGGGCGCUAGCCUGAACCAGCCAAGUAGCGUGAAGGAUGACUGCUCUAUGGGUUGUAAACUUCUUUUAUAUGGGAAUAAAGUGUAGUAUGUAUACUGCUUUGCAUGUACCUUAUGAAUAAGGAUCGGCUAACUCCGUGCCAGCAGCCGCGGUAAUACGGAGGAUCCGAGCGUUAUCCGGAUUUAUUGGGUUUAAAGGGUGCGUAGGCGGGUUUUUAAGUCAGUUGUGAAAGUUUGCGGCUCAACCGUAAAAUUGCAGUUGAAACUGGCAUGCUUGAGUACGUUAGAGGUAGGCGGAAUGCGUGGUGUAGCGGUGAAAUGCUUAGAUAUCACGAAGAACCCCGAUUGCGAAGGCAGCCUGCUAGGCUGUAACUGACGCUGAUGCUCGAAAGUGUGGGGAUCAAACAGGAUUAGAUACCCUUGUAGUC